Long non-coding RNA from Lathyrus oleraceus (garden pea), 2127 nucleotides. RefSeq lists it as uncharacterized. The record is from RefSeq and is a predicted model, not a curated record. NCBI's taxonomy places the organism in Eukaryota, Viridiplantae, Streptophyta, Magnoliopsida, Fabales, Fabaceae. The transcript has 2 exons.
UUGUGGAUCAAAUGCCCAAAGUCACAACAAGCAAUGUUGAAGGGAAAAGAUUGGAAUGACUCACUCAGCAGGGUCAUGUGCGCAUUUGGAACAAGCUAAACAUGUUUAUCACGUGUUGGUAUGCAAAGUCAGAAGGUUCAAAACAACGUGAACUCCCUCCACCAAGUUCAUUUUUCUUCCGCCGCGCCAGAACUCGCCUCAAGUGGUGGCAGAGCCACAAUGCUAACACCAAUUACAUCACCUUCUUCAUCUCUUUCCCUUGAAUCUGAAUAUCACCGUUAAAUGAGCUACUUCCUCCUCACAAGUCCGAAUCAAAACAAAAUAGUUGAAGAACCCUAACAUUCUAACCUAAAAUUAAACUCUCACAUCUCAGAAUCAAAGCCCUAGAGGUUAGGGCUUUGAUUCCCCUAACCUCCUCCUACAUUUCGAUAACUCAUACGCUACGAAAUGAUGAUGAAGAAUGGCAAAUCACCUGAGCAGCGCCAGAAUCAGAUAAGAAUCUCGAAUCUUCUCCUUCUUUCUGAUUCUUUCUCUUCUUCUAAUUCUUCUACUUCUUCUGGAAAGUGUGAACCGUGCUUUGAGAAUGUGUGAUUGCAGAUAAUUAGAGAGGGAGAGAGUGAUGAGUGAUGAGGUUAAGCUUUACCCCAUUGAAGCUUCAAUGUGAAGCUUUAAUGGAGUAUUUCGAAGGAUCUUUGUGUGAGGGUGAAGAAAGAGGUUCUGAGAUUGAGAGGGAGAAAAUGAAAGGUUGUGAAGACUGAAUCUCAAAAAUUCUGAAAAUGGUGAAUGAAUCGUAACUGAAUGAUGUGAAAAUGAUGAAUCUUAAUUUAUAGUGUGGUGGAUUAACAGAGGUGAUCAACAGUGUUAGAUGAUUGAAGUGAGAGUUUGUUAGACUGAUAUCACGGAGUUAAUUUGUCAGUUAGAUUAAGUUAGCUUAGGUUAGUUGGAAAAAAGUUAGUUAGUUACAGUGACAAAUUAGUUAGUUUCAGUUAAAAAUGGAAUGAGUUAGACUCUCAGUUUUUACUUUUGUUAAAUGGUGAGUUAAUGUGAUGAAAUGGAAACUCGAAUUAACUUUUACCUGAGUUAGUAACUUAUCUGUUAAACAUGAUAUCCGGUUGAUGCUAGUCGUUAAUCUGAGUUUAAUUGUGAUGUUAAGUUGUUGUUAGUUGGAGUUACUUGUUACUGAAAAUAAAUUGGUUUAGGUUGUUAAAUGUUGUUAUGGAAAAAUGUUGAAUUGAUGUGUGUUAUGUAAAAUGGUGUAGCUCGAUGUUGAUGCAUUAACUGGUCUACUCGAUGUGAAAUGUUGUUAAUGUUGCUCAAUUUUGAAUGAUGGAUAUCUAUUGUUGCUUGAUAAUUGGUAUGCCUUGCUGAUUUGUUGUAUUGUUGCUAGAUUGUUCAAUGUUGGUGCAGGCUUCGUACAUGUUACAUACACUCACUGCAAGAUGAUUAUUGCAGGGUGCUAGGUCUGUUGUUUGAUUAUAGAUGCAGAGUGAUAUUGUGAUGCUUAUGGCUGUUAUGAGGGCUAUUAUUUAGGUUAUGGCAGUUUGGAUUGUGCAAUGUUUGUGAUGGUGAAUGGUAUGUUGUUGGAUGGUAGGUUUGAUGUAGGACUGUUUGCAUUGCCUUUGGUUAUUAUGCUAUUAGGUUGCAAUGGUCAUUGAAAGGAUAAUGUGUUGUAAUGGUCAUAUGGUCAUUUUGUUUGUGGUAUAUGCAAUGGUUAGUUUUGAUUAAGUUGGUUUGAAAUGGUUUAGGUAAAUGUGUGAAGGCUAGGUCCAUGUCUAUGGUUACAUUGUGAUGGAUGUUAUGUCAUUCUAUGUGUUUUGGAAUAUUUUAUUUUGGUCAUUUGGUUAUGGUAAUGAAAAUCAACAUGUGUUUGGUUUCUUCUUGUAGGUGAUGGACAAUGCAAAGGUGGUCAUGAAGAACAAGAACAUUAGGGGUUUAGGGAUGGUAGAAUGAUGAGUUGACUUUGGUCAAUUGGUUGACCAAAAAGUCAAUAGUUGACAAAAAAAGUCAAUAGUUGACUAAAAGUCAACUUAUGCAAAAAUGAUGUAAUUUUGUAAUCUUUUUCAAUGCAAUGUAUAUGAACAAUGUACUCAAUGAAUCUUAUAAAUGCAAUGUAAUUUCUAAUUAAAA